GACGAACGCUGGCGGCGUGCUUAACACAUGCAAGUCGAACGGAAAGGCCCUGCUUUUGUGGGGUGCUCGAGUGGCGAACGGGUGAUUAACACGUGAGUAACCUGCCCUUGACUUUGGGAUAACUUCAGGAAACUGGGGCUAAUACCGGAUAGGAGCUCCUGCUGCAUGGUGGGGGUUGGAAAGUUUCGGCGGUUGGGGAUGGACUCGCGGCUUAUCAGCUUGUUGGUGGGGUAGUGGCUUACCAAGGCUUUGACGGGUAGCCGGCCUGAGAGGGUGACCGGCCACAUUGGGACUGAGAUACGGCCCAGACUCCUACGGGAGGCAGCAGUGGGGAAUAUUGCACAAUGGGCGGAAGCCUGAUGCAGCAACGCCGCGUGCGGGAUGACGGCCUUCGGGUUGUAAACCGCUUUUGCCUGUGACGAAGCGUGAGUGACGGUAAUGGGUAAAGAAGCACCGGCUAACUACGUG
Molecule: ribosomal RNA, 468 nt
Filed under: uncultured bacterium
Lineage: Bacteria
Description: partial 16S ribosomal RNA
Rfam family: Bacterial small subunit ribosomal RNA
Source: RNAcentral